Molecule: ribosomal RNA, 530 nt
Filed under: Streptomyces griseoaurantiacus
Lineage: Bacteria; Bacillati; Actinomycetota; Actinomycetes; Kitasatosporales; Streptomycetaceae
Description: bacterial SSU rRNA
Rfam family: Bacterial small subunit ribosomal RNA
Source: RNAcentral
GAACGCUGGCGGCGUGCUUAACACAUGCAAGUCGAACGAUGAACCACUUCGGUGGGGAUUAGUGGCGAACGGGUGAGUAACACGUGGGCAAUCUGCCCUUCACUCUGGGACAAGCCCUGGAAACGGGGUCUAAUACCGGAUACAACCACUGACCUCAUGGUCGGGUGGUGGAAAGCUCCGGCGGUGAAGGAUGAGCCCGCGGCCUAUCAGCUUGUUGGUGAGGUAAUGGCUCACCAAGGCGACGACGGGUAGCCGGCCUGAGAGGGCGACCGGCCACACUGGGACUGAGACACGGCCCAGACUCCUACGGGAGGCAGCAGUGGGGAAUAUUGCACAAUGGGCGAAAGCCUGAUGCAGCGACGCCGCGUGAGGGAUGACGGCCUUCGGGUUGUAAACCUCUUUCAGCAGGGAAGAAGCGAAAGUGACGGUACCUGCAGAAGAAGCGCCGGCUAACUACGUGCCAGCAGCCGCGGUAAUACGUAGGGCGCAAGCGUUGUCCGGAAUUAUUGGGCGUAAAGAGCUCGUAGGCG